GGGCGCGUAGCUCAGCGGGAGAGCAUUCCGUUCACACCGGAAAGGUCACUGGUUCAAUCCCAGUCGCGCCCA
RNAcentral lists this transfer RNA (72 nucleotides) under alpha proteobacterium BAL199. It matches the Rfam family "tRNA". Rfam says of the family: Transfer RNA (tRNA) molecules are approximately 80 nucleotides in length. Their secondary structure includes four short double-helical elements and three loops (D, anti-codon, and T loops). RNAcentral also lists the same sequence under 1 other name. The record is from Rfam by way of RNAcentral. Lineage: Bacteria; Pseudomonadati; Pseudomonadota; Alphaproteobacteria.